GGAUUGUGGCUCAGCGGUGGAGCGCUCGCCUAGCAAGGGCGGGACCGGGGUUCGAUCCUCAGCACCA
This 67-nucleotide transfer RNA is filed under the name Marmota monax (woodchuck). RNAcentral's name for it is "tRNA.Ala". Lineage: Eukaryota; Metazoa; Chordata; Mammalia; Rodentia; Sciuridae. The record is from RNAcentral.